RNAcentral lists this ribosomal RNA (431 nucleotides) under uncultured bacterium. RNAcentral's name for it is "partial 16S ribosomal RNA". It matches the Rfam family "Bacterial small subunit ribosomal RNA", at positions 29 to 505 of the family's 1533-position model. The record is from RNAcentral.
AACGAACGCUGGCGGCAUGCCUAACACAUGCAAGUCGAACGAGACCUUCGGGUCUAGUGGCGCACGGGUGCGUAACGCGUGGGAACCUGCCCUUAGGUUCGGAAUAACUCCCCGAAAGGGGUGCUAAUACCGGAUAAUGUCUUCGGACCAAAGAUUUAUCGCCUUUGGAUGGGCCCGCGUUGGAUUAGCUAGUUGGUAGGGUAAAAGCCUACCAAGGCGACGAUCCAUAGCUGGUCUGAGAGGAUGAUCAGCCACACUGGGACUGAGACACGGCCCAGACUCCUACAGGGGGCAGCAGUGGGGAAUAUUGGACAAUGGGCGAAAGCCUGAUCCAGCAAUGCCGCGUGAGUGAUGAAGGCCUUAGGGGUGUAAAGCUCUUUUACCCGGGAUGAUAAUGACUGUACCGGGAGAAUAAGCUCCGGCUAACUCCG